CCCUCAGAUUUGGACAUGGCCAGAGAACCCAAGCUGAGCCGGGCCAGGCUGGGCCAGAAGAGGCAGCACAGCAGCACCAUGUACCACAGUAACUGCGAUCUGGACUACGACCUCUACCGGGACGACCUCCCGUACCGGGUUUACGAGUACCAGAAGAUCCCUCCCCUCAUUAACCGCCUGCCCGUCAAAGCCCGACGAACUCACCCUGGGGCAGGAGGCAAGAGAAGCCUGAG
This is a non-coding RNA of Tinamus guttatus (white-throated tinamou), 233 nucleotides long. The record is from RefSeq and is a predicted model, not a curated record. NCBI's taxonomy places the organism in Eukaryota, Metazoa, Chordata, Aves, Tinamiformes, Tinamidae.